This 438-nucleotide ribosomal RNA is filed under the name uncultured marine bacterium. Its description in RNAcentral is "bacterial SSU rRNA". It matches the Rfam family "Bacterial small subunit ribosomal RNA", at positions 42 to 526 of the family's 1533-position model. The record is from RNAcentral.
GCAUGCCUAACACAUGCAAGUCGAACGCCCUUUUCGGAGGGAGUGGCGCACGGGUGCGUAACGCGUGGGAACCUGCCCUUAGGUUCGGAAUAACUCAGAGAAAUUUGAGCUAAUACCGGAUAAUGUCUUCGGACCAAAGAUUUAUCGCCUUUGGAUGGGCCCGCGUAGGAUUAGAUAGUUGGUGGGGUAAUGGCCUACCAAGUCGACGAUCCUUAGCUGGUCUGAGAGGAUGAUCAGCCACACUGGGACUGAGACACGGCCCAGACUCCUACGGGAGGCAGCAGUGGGGAAUAUUGGACAAUGGGCGAAAGCCUGAUCCAGCAAUGCCGCGUGAGUGAUGAAGGCCUUAGGGUUGUAAAGCUCCCUUACCAGGGAUGAUAAUGACAGUACCUGGAGAAUAAGCUCCGGCUAACUCCGUGCCAGCAGCCGCGGUAAUAC